CCUAUGGGAGGCAGCAGUAAGGAAUAUUGGUCAAUGGACGAAAGUCUGAACCAGCCAUGCCGCGUGAAGGAUUAAGGCCCUCUGGGUUGUAAACUUCUUUUAUCUGGGACGAAAAAAGGGUAUUCUUACUCACUUGACGGUACCAGAGGAAUAAGCACCGGCUAACUCCGUGCCAGCAGCCGCGGUAAUACGGAGGGUGCAAGCGUUAUCCGGAUUUACUGGGUUUAAAGGGUGCGUAGGUGGGCUUGUAAGUCAGUGGUGAAAUCUCCGGGCUUAACUCGGAAACUGCCAUUGAUACUAUAGGUCUUGAAUUAUCUGGAGGUAAGCGGAAUAUGUCAUGUAGCGGUGAAAUGCUUAGAUAUGACAUAGAACACCAAUUGCGAAGGCAGCUUACUACGGAUAUAUUGACACUGAGGCACGAAAGCGUGGGGAUCAAACAGGAUUAGAUACCCUGGUAGUCCACGCCCUAAACGAUGGAUACUCGAACAUCAGCGAUACACUGUUGGUGUCUGAGCGAAGACGAGUUAAGUACGUACCGACCGUACGGUAAGGUAACGAGUAACGUACGAAGAGUUAGUAAACGUUAAAGUUAAGUAAGUUAGUUACGGCGUGGAGGAGUUGCCGACGGACGACGACGAGGGAGGAGG
RNAcentral lists this ribosomal RNA (647 nucleotides) under uncultured bacterium. RNAcentral describes it as "bacterial SSU rRNA". The stretch from base 1 to 537 matches the Rfam family "Bacterial small subunit ribosomal RNA", at positions 338 to 873 of the family's 1533-position model. The record is from RNAcentral.